CAGUAGCCGCGGGAAUACGUAGGCGGCAAGCGUUGUCCGGAAUUAUUGGGCGUAAAGGGAGCGCAGGUGGGACGGUAAGUCCGUCUUAAAAGGCAGGGGCUCAGCCCCUGUAAGGGAUGGAAACUAUCGAUCUUGAGUGCCGGAGAGGAAAGCGGAAUUCCCAGUGUAGCGGUGAAAUGCGUAGAUAUUGGGAAGAACACCAGUGGCGAAGGCGGCUUUCUGGACGGCAACUGACACUGAGGCUCGAAAGCCAGGGGAGCGAACGGGAUUAGAGACCCCCGUAGUCCCUGUCUCUUAUACA
Molecule: ribosomal RNA, 301 nt
Filed under: uncultured bacterium
Lineage: Bacteria
Description: partial 16S ribosomal RNA
Rfam family: Bacterial small subunit ribosomal RNA
Source: RNAcentral